This 24-nucleotide non-coding RNA is filed under the name Arabidopsis thaliana (thale cress). Lineage: Eukaryota; Viridiplantae; Streptophyta; Magnoliopsida; Brassicales; Brassicaceae. The record is from RNAcentral.
AUAUCACGCCUCAUUCACUCGAGA